GAAUACCGAGACGUGAUUUCUCUACUGCCAGCUUUUGCACUUCAAGAAUGCGGUCUACCCCUUUCAGGUUGAAGAGUCCGCCUACCAAUCCUUUUUCAAUCUUUGCGGCUACGUCGCUGCUCUUGGCCUGUCCUGUUGUGAUGUCUCCCGUGACGGGUAGGUUCAACUGUCCGAUUUUCUCUUCCACAGUCAUUUUCCUCAUCAGC
This 206-nucleotide unclassified non-coding RNA is filed under the name soil metagenome. Its description in RNAcentral is "partial internal transcribed spacer 1". The record is from RNAcentral.